GGGCGGAUGGUUUAGUGGUAUAAUUUUCCCUUAGCAUCUUCUGGCCUUUGAAAGACUAGAUACUUCCGCAUGGGAAAGGUCCGGGGUUCGAUUCCCCGUUCGUCCA
RNAcentral lists this transfer RNA (106 nucleotides) under Trichoderma virens Gv29-8. RNAcentral describes it as "tRNA-Ala for anticodon AGC". It matches the Rfam family "tRNA". From Rfam's summary of the family: Transfer RNA (tRNA) molecules are approximately 80 nucleotides in length. Their secondary structure includes four short double-helical elements and three loops (D, anti-codon, and T loops). The record is from Rfam by way of RNAcentral. Lineage: Eukaryota; Fungi; Ascomycota; Sordariomycetes; Hypocreales; Hypocreaceae.